GACGGGGCGCCCGGGGGGGACCUCUCAGCGGGAUGGGGCCCGUGGGGGAGGGGCAACCUUCCCCUUGGGGACAAAUGACCCCUCCUCAGGAGUCGGGCGAGGGAGUAAUGACCCCCUCGAGACGGCGGGGAAAAUUGGCAACUAGAGGGGGAAUGGAGGAAACAACCCCACUGCCACUCCUUGAACAUACUUUUUCCCACCGUUUGUUCAUUCCCUUCAGUUCAAAGGACACCAUCAAGGAAGCAAAAAGACAAUCCACGGAAUGGGAAAAAUAUUCGUAACUCGCAUAUCUCAUAAAGGGAAAUGCAAAUCAAAAUCACAAUGAGACGCUUCAUCCCACUAUCAUGGCUAUAAUCCAGAUGGACAAUCAAAAAGAUGGCAAGGCUGUGGAGAAAAUGGAAGCCUCACACACUGCUGGUGGGAAAGUCGAAUGGUGCAGCCACUUUGGAAAACGGUUUGGCAAUUCUUCAAAGUGUUAAACAGAAUUACCAUGUGACCUAGCAAUUCCACUCCCAGGAUAAGCCAGUUCACUGCAAAGUUCUUCCUCUGAAAAUUGCCCUUCCUCACAGAGAUGGCCCCAGCAGCCAUUUUUAUACUAUGUGACCUUGACCUUAUCGGUUGAACAACAGCAGGAACCUGACCCCAACAGGAUCAGUCAGUCUCUCCUCUGGCACUGUUGCACUGGGAGAGAGGCAGCCCUUUGUUCUCUACAAGUGACUGGGAACCGAAUCGAGUAACCUCGGGUUGUGGCAGAGUCACAUUCAUGGAGAAGCCAAUAAAUGGAAUCUGCAGAAGCGAAAGAAUGACUCAGAUGGGCAAAGGGACGCAGAGGCGAGAGCGCCUAAGAAAAUGGCCUCUCGGUUUUUUGCUGAGUUUCUGCUUCUGGAUCUGCCCCUUUGGUUCACCUUCACCUAUAAGAUACCCCUAUAACCUUAUAAUAAAUGUUCAUUUUUCCAUAAGCGGAUAGGCUUCUGAAACUUGGAACUGAAAAUAUUUUGGUUAUGGGGCUAGGUUCCAAGAGAUGAAAAAUGUACUGUCACCGGUAACGUGGGUGGUAAAACAAAUGUUUGUAUGAGUGCAGCAAAUUAGAGGUGGGAGGCACCUCCUGAGGCCACCAAUAUUAAGAGCAGCAGUAAUUGCCCCCCCGCCCCCAAAAAAAGAAAGAAGGCCCUAUAAAAAGCCAAGAACUCCAAAAAGCUCUUCAGUCUGGGAUGACUUAAUUGAGAGGCCAGCAGUAGCUAAUCUUGUGUGCCACAGGGUGUCAUUUGAUUAUAGCAUGGUAACAAUGAUGUUUGUCACAGUGGCCUUGAGCCACAAAAGCCCAGGCAGAUGAAGCGGUAUCCUUUGUUCAGGAUUAUCUGUAAUGAAAAACUGUUUAAAUGCUCAGACAUUUAAAGAUGUAAGGUUCACUUUUCUGGUACACAGACAUUGUGAAAUAGGUCAUUUUAUAUCAUAGUGACAGAUACCUGUGGUCCAAACGUAUAAUUAUAGACACCUCCAGAAAUAGCACAUCUCUUAAAUGAGGAACAAAAGUGAGGCAUUUUAAAUCAUUUUAUAAUUUUGCUAUUUCUUUUCCCAUGGAGGUUGAAGCUUUUGUGGAACAUAGGAAAAAAAAAACCUGACUCUUAUCUAAGAGGCUAUAUGCUGAUCACAGAUAAUCCUCUGUGCCAUUUGCUAGGUCAGUGGGUCUCAAAUCUAUCAGCUCCAAUGUCCCUCUAAAAAGCAAUAGUUGCUAAUAUCCCAUUAGUAGUCCUGAAAGAAAUUAAUAUGGAAUAGAAUCUGUCUGCACUCAAAUGUAUAUAUGUUGGUUUGCAUUUUCAUAGCAAUGUUGAGUUUUUCACAUGUUUAUUGGCCGUUUGUGUAUCUUUGGAGAAAUGUUCAGCUUCUUUGCCCAUUUUUAAGGUGGGUUGUCUUCUUAUUUUAAGUCGUAAGAGUUCUUUAUGUAGUCUAGAUAGUUUUUUGAUCAGAUAUAUGAUCUGCAAAUGUUUUCUUCCAUUCAGUACAUACUGUAAAUGACAGAUUAUUCAAGUGGAAAAAACGGGAAGUAGGAUAUUCUUGCAGAUGAACUGGACCUAUUUUUGUAAUUGUGUCUUGAAAUCUCAGGAUAUUUGACAUUUGAUCUCUGAGAUGUAAAAAGACCUUGAAGACCACAUCCUUUGAUAGGCAACAGAAACUAGAAGAUGGAUCGGGAAAAGAAGCCAUGAAUACGAGAGGUGAUGGAGCAGUCGUGAGGUCGUGUGGGGACUGUGUCUGAUUUUACUGAAAACAACAGUGCUGAAGAGUGAGUACUGUGUGUGCCAGGCUGUGUGUGGGUAGAUGUGAGGUUAUUUACUAGGUGUGCAUCCUUAGGUGAGUUAUUUGCUUUUCAGGAGCCUGUUUCUUUAUAUAUAAAAUGAAGAUCGGUGGUGGUGUAUCAAAUAUGACAUCACCUGUACGAUAAUAGUAACAGGGAGACCGUGCUAAAGGCUUUAUAGGCUUUAUUUCAUUCAAUCUCACAUGAACCGUGAGGGAGACACUGAGAAACAGAACUGAGACUUAGUGAAAUCAUUUCAGUGGUUGAGUUGGGAUCUGAGUCUAUGUCUGUCUGAUUCCAGAAUCUUUGCUCUUAAAGUCUGAAAAUGCUGUGAAAUCAUCUGUCUAUUCCAAAAUGUAUACUAUUAUGUAGGACUAUUUUCCUGGUUCUGUUGCUUGGUGUGUACCAAGGUUAAAGAUAACGAGGAUGGUGGGGUCACCUUGAAAUGGGAGAAAUCUUGCUUGCGGAGAUGAUAGUUAUUGGAACCCCCAUACAUUUCAUCAUGUUCCCUGACAUUAGGGCGCAGUGCAAUCAAAUGUUUUUCAAAUUUACUUAGAAGCUAUUAGAUACCUAAGUAUUUGGAAGGAUUACUCAACAGACUUGGGAAAAUAAGACCCAAAGAUAAAGUCCUGUUAGUGUCAAAUCUGGUAACUUUCUAAGGCAGCGUCUUAAUUACUGUGGUAGAAUAAUAACCACCGCCCCGCACAGGAUAGCCAUGUUGUAAUCUCUGGACCCCGUGGACAUGUCACCUUACAUGGCAGACGAGCCUUUGCAAGUGUGAUUAAGUUAAGGAUCUUGAGAUAGAGAGGUUGUCCUGGGUUAUUCAGGUGGAUCUAUUUUAAUCACAAGUGUCCUUAAGACAUGGAAGGGACGGGCCGAACAAUCAGUCCCUGAAGGCCGUGUGGCGACAGAAGCACAGGUCACAGAGGAGAAUACUAGUGGAGGCCAUGACCCAAGGAAUGAGGCUGGAAUGGCAAGAAAUGGAGUCCCUCCCAGAGCCUGCAGAGGACUAUAGCCCAGCCAACACCCCAAUUUGAGCUGAUAAGACCUACCGGGAUGUGUGCAUACCCGCCGAGCGAGAAAUUCUUAGUUUCUUUGAGUGGCUCCAGAAAUAACCAAGAUGUGGUGACGCUGUGCCAUUGGUAUGAUGAGAUACCACAGGCCUUUACUGCAAGAUUCCUUUGCAGUUGUCCUUGUACCUGGGCAAAUCUGCCGAAGACAAACCAGCACAUCUGCAUUGGGAAGAAUUUAUCCAAACUCAUCACGCUAGCUUAUUAAGGACAUUCGUUCGUGCAUUCAUCAAACAGUUAUUUAGUCCUUGGUGUUUAUCUGCCUCCAAGAGACAGACAAUAGACAAUAAAGAUAAUAAGUAGAGGCAGUCAAGGAAAACCAUGGAAAUUUAUUAGCAAAUGAUUGUAAUAGUCAAUAUUUAAUAAAAAAAAAAUGUCAUGACCGUAGUUAUAUAUUUUUCUGCAGUUUAUUUACGUUUUUCCCUUUUUCUUAGACUCACCUCUGGCAAGACUCCUAUCUUAUUAAUCUUUCAUAGAACCACCUUUUAGUUUUGUGAGUUGUUUCAGUUGUUCUGUAUUUCAUUGAUUUCUGCCCCAAUAGUAUUAAUUUCCUUCGUGUUUCUUUCAUUUGGUUCUAUUCCUCUUUUCUAGUGUUUUGAGUUGAAUGCUUAGCUCAUGUCUUUUUUAACCUUUUUUAACCUUUCUCGUUUCCUGAUAAAUGUCUAUAAAGCUAUAAAUUUCCCUUCCAAGUAGUGAUUUCACUGUGUCCCACCAAUUUUGUGGGACAAAAUGUUUCAGUGUUUUCUCUCUUCAGUUCUGAAUAUUUC
This is a long non-coding RNA of Pteropus alecto (black flying fox), 4130 nucleotides long. RefSeq lists it as uncharacterized. NCBI's taxonomy places the organism in Eukaryota, Metazoa, Chordata, Mammalia, Chiroptera, Pteropodidae. The transcript has 5 exons. The record is from RefSeq and is a predicted model, not a curated record.